CGAAAUGCGAUAAGUAAUGUGAAUUGCAGAAUUCCGUGAAUCAUCGAAUCUUUGAACGCACAUUGCGCCCUCUGGCAUUCCGGGGGGGCAUGCCUGUCCGAGCGUCAUUACGCACCCUCAAGCCCGGCUUGUGUGAUGGGCCCCGGCGUCUCGUUCGCGAGACGGGCCCGAAAGGCAGCGGCGGCGUCGACCCGAUGAGCCCGAGCGUAUGGUGACUUCUGUCACACGUUCGCGGUGCGGACCGGCGCCUGCUUUGACUUUUCUGAUUAUCCAGGUUGACCUCGGAUCAGGUAGGGAUACCCGCUGAACUUAAGC
Molecule: unclassified non-coding RNA, 315 nt
Filed under: plant metagenome
Description: partial contains 5.8S ribosomal RNA, internal transcribed spacer 2, and large subunit ribosomal RNA
Rfam family: 5.8S ribosomal RNA (bases 1-107)
Source: RNAcentral